AACUAACAAGGAUUCCCCUAGUAACUGCGAGUGAAGCGGGAAAAGCUCAAAUUUAAAAUCUGGCAGUCUUUGGCUGUCCGAGUUGUAAUCUAGAGAAGCAUUAUCCGCGCUGGACCGUGUACAAGUCUCCUGGAAUGGAGCGUCAUAGAGGGUGAGAAUCCCGUCUUUGACACGGACUGCCAGGGCUUUGUGAUGUGCUCUCAAAGAGUCGAGUUGUUUGGGAAUGCAGCUCAAAAUGGGUGGUAAAUUCCAUCUAAAGCUAAAUAUUGGCGAGAGACCGAUAGCGAACAAGUACCGUGAGGGAAAGAUGAAAAGAACUUUGGAAAGAGAGUUAAACAGUACGUGAAAUUGCUGAAAGGGAAACGCUUGAAGUCAGUCGCGUUGGCCUGGGAUCAACCUUGCUUUUUUGCUUGGCUUACUUCCUGGUUGACGGGUCAGCAUCAAUUUUGACUGGUGGAAAAAGUUCAUUGGAAUGUGGCAUCUUCGGAUGUGUUAUAGCCUUUGCUCACAUACAUCAGUUGGGAUUGAGGAACUCAGCACGCCGCAAGGCCGGGUUUUUAACCACGUACGUGCUUAGGAUGCUGGCAUAAUGGCUUUAAUCGACCCGUCUUGAAACACGGACCAAGGAGUCUAACAUGCCUGCGAGUGUUUGGGUGGAAAACCCGAGCGCGUAAUGAAAGUGAAAGUUGAGAUCCCUGUCGUGGGGAGCAUUGACGCCCAGAUCUGACCUUUUGUGACGAUCCUGCGGUAGAGCAUGUAUGUUGGGACCCGAAAGAUGGUGAACUAUGCCUGAAUAGGGUGAAGCCAGAGGAAACUCUGGUGGAGGCUCGUAGCGAUUCUGACGUGCAAAUCGAUCGUCAAAUUUGGGUAUAGGGGCGAAAGACUAAUCGAACCAUCUAGUAGCUGGUC
RNAcentral lists this ribosomal RNA (909 nucleotides) under Laccaria sp. PNG4. Its description in RNAcentral is "eukaryotic LSU rRNA". It matches the Rfam family "Eukaryotic large subunit ribosomal RNA", at positions 63 to 956 of the family's 3401-position model. Lineage: Eukaryota; Fungi; Basidiomycota; Agaricomycetes; Agaricales; Hydnangiaceae. The record is from RNAcentral.